Molecule: non-coding RNA, 115 nt
Organism: Triticum aestivum (bread wheat)
Lineage: Eukaryota; Viridiplantae; Streptophyta; Magnoliopsida; Poales; Poaceae
Source: Rfam
CAAAUACUUCCUUAGUUUCAAAUUACUCGUUGUAGAAAUGGAUGUAUCUAAAAUUAAAAUACAUCUAGAUACAUCCAUACCUGCGACAAGUAAUUCGAAACAAAGGAAGUACAAA